AAAGAUCAUUAACGAACAACGGGGUUCGCCCCUUGUCCACAAACACACCCCCGUGCACGUUGAAGGCCCGGCUCGUUGAGUGGGUGGGCGACCGCCCAGGAUUCGUAGCCUCGCUUUCUUACACAAACUUCAGAAUGUACAUCAGAAUGUCUUACGCGUGUAACGCAUCGUAAUAUAACUUUCAGCAACGGAUCUCUUGGCUCUCGCAUCGAUGAAGAACGCAGCGAAAUGCGAUAAGUAAUGUGAAUUGCAGAAUUCAGUGAAUCAUCGAAUCUUUGAACGCACCUUGCGCUCCUUGGCAUUCCGAGGAACAUGCCUGUUUGAGUGUCAUGAAACUCUCAACCCCUGCCAUCUUUGCGGAUGAGCGUCGGUUGGAUUUUGGAGGUUGCCGGACUCGUUCGGCUCCCCUUGAAAGCAUAGUAAAGCUUGGACCUGACCGACCGGGUGGACGUGAUAGAAAGUCACCGUCGACCGAAGGGUCCGUCGCUGAACGGUUCAAGCUUUGUUUGUCGUCUUCGGACGCACAUCUCUACCU
Molecule: ribosomal RNA, 535 nt
Filed under: Laetiporus sp. RV-RIGA
Lineage: Eukaryota; Fungi; Basidiomycota; Agaricomycetes; Polyporales; Laetiporaceae
Description: eukaryotic LSU rRNA
Rfam family: 5.8S ribosomal RNA (bases 177-330)
Source: RNAcentral